GGGCACUUAGCUCAGUUGGUUAGAGCGGCGGCCUUAUAAGCCGCGUCUGCCGAGGGUUCAAGUCCCUCAGUGCCUA
RNAcentral lists this transfer RNA (76 nucleotides) under Caudoviricetes sp. RNAcentral's name for it is "tRNA-Ile". It matches the Rfam family "tRNA". From Rfam's summary of the family: Transfer RNA (tRNA) molecules are approximately 80 nucleotides in length. Their secondary structure includes four short double-helical elements and three loops (D, anti-codon, and T loops). Further hydrogen bonds mediate the characteristic L-shaped molecular structure. tRNAs have two regions of fundamental functional importance: the anti-codon, which is responsible for specific mRNA codon recognition, and the 3' end, to which the tRNAs corresponding amino acid is attached (by aminoacyl-tRNA synthetases). tRNAs cope with the degeneracy of the genetic code in two manners: having more than one tRNA (with a specific anti-codon) for a particular amino acid; and 'wobble' base-pairing, i.e. permitting non-standard base-pairing at the 3rd anti-codon position. The record is from RNAcentral. Lineage: Duplodnaviria; Heunggongvirae; Uroviricota; Caudoviricetes.